RNAcentral lists this long non-coding RNA (288 nucleotides) under Homo sapiens (human). RNAcentral describes it as "HSALNT0359689". Lineage: Eukaryota; Metazoa; Chordata; Mammalia; Primates; Hominidae. The record is from RNAcentral.
GUAGAGGCGGGACCUGGUGCUGUGGAAAGAGAGAACUCUUGCUCAUUCUUUCUAGUCAAGACCCAAGUGGACUCUUUGCUGGCUUUGAAAGGAAAGGCAUUUCUGGUUUGUACUUGGCAGGACUCUGAGAGCCCUAGGUAGGGGAGCCAGACACCACGUUACAGAGCCCCCCCAGCAGAGGCAGAGGGCGAGCGGCCCCAGACAGCAGAUGUAGAGGCCCGUCUCGGCUCCUCGGACUCGAACUCUGCUUCCAAAGGUGUCCGUCUCCACGAUGAGCUUUGCUGUCAG